RNAcentral lists this long non-coding RNA (1789 nucleotides) under Mus musculus (house mouse). Its description in RNAcentral is "long non-coding RNA chr9:63141937-63143726". Lineage: Eukaryota; Metazoa; Chordata; Mammalia; Rodentia; Muridae. The record is from RNAcentral.
GGGAGAAGGCAAGUGAGUUCAGGAGGCUGAACCCUGGCAGGAGGCGCCCUUCGAUCUAUUCUAGGUGAAUGAGGUGGUUCUCCCCUUUCCUUUUAGUACCCACCUCCUGUACUCAGAAGACCCUCAAUGCCAACAGAGAGGAAACAAGUCCGGAAACCCGGCCUGCCCCUCCCCCACAACGUUAACUAUCUGCUCAGUGGCAUCGUUUGUUCGUGAUUAAAACCUUCCUCCAAGCCUGUGGUGACCCGGAUGCGCUGGAUCCUCAGCUCAAGGCUACCGGUGAGAGCCAGGACUGCCGGGGCUCACCUCGAUCUGUAUUUGCAGGGCUUGGCUGGGAGACACUCCUUUGGUCUGAAAAGGAUUUUCUGGUUUCCAAGUCGUCGGCUGUCGUCGAGUGAUUGUCUUCCUUAUCCGGCUCUAAAAGGCAGACCGAGUUUCAAGGAGAGGCAAAGAAACCGUGACCCGGAUACUGCAGAGCGGCCUCGGUUGGGGCGCCCAAGCCCUAAUUAAAAACGUCGUGGCCGCCUCUGGUUCCCGGCUGUGCGCCCAGGCGCGCGCCCUGAGGCUUUGGGCCGGGUACCCCCUCCCCUGCACAAGGUCUGCUCCGUUCCGGGCUACACGUCCCCGCCCCAGCCCCUGGCCCCCAGGAAAAGAUCAAGACAAGCAGCUGAGCCCACCAGGGACAAGCGACCUACAUUGCGUGCGCAGAUACUGGGGCACCGGGAGAGCGCGUGGCCGCCGGGUUUGUCCGCGCCACUCCAGCAGAGAUCGUAACCCAAGUGACAACCUUCCGGGCAUUGGUGUUGUAGGACACUGUCCCGCACCCGGCUGCACAGGCCGGCUUAGAUUUCUGUUGCCCACCCCUCACCUCCGCUCUUUCCCAGCUAACAACAGGAUCCCAAAUGCAAAUGCAGGGGUGAUUCUUGAUUGGGGCCGCAGCCUUUUGGGAUACCCUAGAGCGCAGCCACUAGCCCUCACCCUGUGCCCGGAUCAGGCCCGGCCACCCCCUUAAGGCCACCAGCCUAAGGCUAAGCACGUUUCUGGAUAAAUGAAAUGGUGUAAAAGAGAUGUCAGGCAGGCGUAGGUUUUUGGAAAGGUUUAAAUCUCCGAUGAGGUGUACUGGAGAUUGUGCGUGUGUGAGUGAAAGGGGAUGGGUUGGGAUUAUUUUUAAGUAGCCAAACCCUGAGAUUUGGAGUUUACACUUAGUUUUCUUUUUCUUCUAUUGUUUUUCUUCCCCUUUCUCUAUCACCCCUUUUCUCUCCGUCUCUUUCCGCCCCUCCCUUCCUUGAAAGGCCUGCCUUGGCUCUGGGUUCUCUCUGUACUUCCUGCAUUAAAAGGGCCAGAGACCUCAGGAGGCAUUACCGUGGGUCUCUGGGGUGCAGAGGUAAGAGGCCGCGGGCCCCAGCGCCGCCGCCACCGCCGUACUCUUCACGUGUUCGUCCCUUUCAGGCGCAUACACCUGCGACGGCCGAAAAUGACAGGCGAUUAGGCGGGACACCCUUGCCCAGCGGGCCAACAGGAAGGACGAGAGUGUGGCAGAGGUUGGUGGGCCCUGGAGACCUGAACGCAGUGAUGACGUACCGUAGUGGAUUUGGGAUAAUCUUUGGUACUCCGGAACAAAUUACUUAAAACACAAAGCCGCUUUCAAGCCAGCGGCUGUCCAAAGCCACCCCCACGUUCUAUGCUCACUUCCUGAGAGCUACCUUUCCUCUCUGUGUCGUUGCCAGCCUAAAGGAUGGCUUUCUCGCGCGGGCAAUGGUUUCUGCUUUAAUAAACCCAGCGUAAAUGG